ACAGAUCUUUCAGUUGUCAUUAGGAUAGCGGAGUGUAUUGCAGUUUUCAUUGACUGUGAUCUUCAGUCCUUAAUUGAUUGCUGCGACAUCUGUGAAAAAGACUGCCGACAUCCGAAAACUUCGUUGGUAACUAUUUUCUUAAAUCAGAAUCUCGAGGUUUCUGUAAAGCAGCAACCUAUACUGAACAAGCAAAUGUGAUUGACUUGUGAACUGGCUAGAAUGGAAGCUCCUGCAUGUGACUGUAGCCUUCGGUUACUACUUUCUAAGCCUCGAUCAAACUGACCUGUUCGAUCUGCUUUCAUCCUAAAUGUGUUUUACCUACUUUGUUGGUCCCCUAGAUCUUUAACGUUAGCACGAACUCUAAGCUGUGCUAAUUUCAAUUCCUACUUUGUGUAAAGCUUCUUAAGAACUAUGUAGUUAAUUAGAAUGGGGGAGGUAGUACUGUAGUUGUGUAACUAAUAAAAAUUCAUAGCUACAAACUUCAGAGUUUAUGCAGCCAUCAGAAUCCACUCUAGUUUGUCUAGAAAUCACUAAUGGUGAACGGUGUAAUCCAAAUACUCUUCUGUCCGUAGUAAGCUUGACCUGGAUGUUCAGUUACUGACUUGCGGACAGAUUAGCUAUUUCAGUGUUUAAUUAAAUCCUUAAUU
Long non-coding RNA from Macrobrachium nipponense, 647 nucleotides. RefSeq lists it as uncharacterized. Lineage: Eukaryota; Metazoa; Arthropoda; Malacostraca; Decapoda; Palaemonidae. The record is from RefSeq and is a predicted model, not a curated record. The transcript has 3 exons.